AACGAACGCUGGCGGCAUGCCUAACACAUGCAAGUCGAACGAGACCUUCGGGUCUAGUGGCGCACGGGUGCGUAACGCGUGGGAAUCUGCCCUGGGGUGCGGAAUAACUCGGAGAAAUCCGUGCUAAUACCGCAUAAUGUCUUCGGACCAAAGAUUUAUCGCCCUGGGAUGAGCCCGCGUAGGAUUAGCUAGUUGGUGGGGUAAAGGCCUACCAAGGCGACGAUCCUUAGCUGGUCUGAGAGGAUGAUCAGCCACACUGGGACUGAGACACGGCCCAGACUCCUACGGGAGGCAGCAGUGGGGAAUAUUGGACAAUGGGCGAAAGACCUGAUCCAGCAAUGCCGCGUGAGUGAUGAAGGCCCUAGGGUUGGUAAAAGCUCUUUUUACCCCGGGUAAGUGAUAAAUGACAGUACCGGGA
RNAcentral lists this ribosomal RNA (418 nucleotides) under uncultured bacterium. Its description in RNAcentral is "bacterial SSU rRNA". It matches the Rfam family "Bacterial small subunit ribosomal RNA", at positions 29 to 483 of the family's 1533-position model. The record is from RNAcentral.